Long non-coding RNA from Capsicum annuum, 2010 nucleotides. RefSeq lists it as uncharacterized. The transcript has 6 exons. Lineage: Eukaryota; Viridiplantae; Streptophyta; Magnoliopsida; Solanales; Solanaceae. The record is from RefSeq and is a predicted model, not a curated record.
CCCCCGAAUAUCCAUUGAAAAUAGCCCCCCAAAACAUUUGUCUCAUUUUCCCCCAAAAUAGCUCCGUCGUCCAUUGAUAGGGUCCGGUUGAACUCUACUCCGGCCAUUGCUACUCCUGUUCAGCUUUUUCUUCGGUGAAUUCAAACUCCUACAGCUCCCAGAUAAUUAUUUUUAAAUCUGUUUUCAUGGGAAACGGUGUAGGAAAGCUUAGUGUUUGUUUCACUAGCGCCGCCGUCGUGGAAAGUCAUCGCUGGAAGGAUUUCCAGUGAUGAUAUCCAACCUACUUGAAGAUUUGCGUCCCUAUCUAUCAACCUUCUUUCAAGCGGUUGAUAGAGCUUUCCGUGCACUUUGCUAAAGCGCAAAAUUUUGUUAGUUUACGGUGCUCCUUCUAUCUUUUUCCAAUGUUCCAUCGGUGUAUUUCGGUACUAGUCUAAGUUGUUGCAGUUCCAUGUUUCAUAGUGGAAAAUAUGAGCAGUCAGUACAAAAACAAUAAAUUGUUCGAAAGAGAUACCUUUUUACAGUUGAUAGACAGAAAAAUAAGAUUGUUAUUUAGUUUAAGAUUUUAGGGAUUUGUGGAGAAGACCAGCAAAAUGAAAGAGAAAACUUAGGACACUCUCACUCAUAAAGGUUGUAGGUUGUAGGAAACAGAUAUUAAAAAAUAUUCUUGAAGUUUUCGAGGAAUAUAACGAGAGGUUUCUUAGAAGACUCAGAUACAGGACUGAUCGAACAGGGUUGGAAUUGAGAUUCCGAGAGUUGAAGUUUGAUUUGAGCAUCUUUGUAUUGAUGGAGAUGCAUAUGUUGGAUCUAGAGCAUUGCCUACUCUCUAGAAUGCUUCCGUCAAUUUUGUAGAGGAUGACAUUACUUCUGGGGCCUCCUGGUUCUGGAAAAGCAAAAUUGCUAAAGGCACUUGCUGGGGUGCUAGACAAGGACCUAAGAGUGAACGGAAGAAUCAGUUACUGUGGUCGUGAACUGUCAGAUUUCAUCCCACAAAGGACAUGUGCUUAUAUUAGUCAGCAUGGCAUUCAUCAUGGAGAGAUGACUAUCAGAGAGACGUUGGAUUUUGCAGGACGUUGUUGAGGAGUUGGAACAAGGUAUGAUCUCCUUACUGAAUUGUCAAGGCGGUAAAAAGAUGCAGGAAUCAAACCCGAUCCUGAAAUCGAUGCCUUUAUGAAAGCUACAGCUGUUGCGGGCCAAGAAUCUAGUCUUGUCACAAACUAUGUUCUUAAGGUUAGACUCUUGGUUGAACUCGUAAUCAUAUUUGGGUUACUGUGACAUAGUUAGGGCUCGACGGUGAUGUUUAAAUCUUGGCAAGUGGUGGUGAAUACUUACCUACUCACUUCCCGGCUAGCUAGGUGAACUCUGUGAAAUGAUUUCUACAGGACGAGUUUCUGUUCCUGUGCAGGAGAAGUCGUACUAUGCAUUGGCCGCAUUUUGUGAGAACAUGGGCGAAGAAAUUCUUCCUUUCCUGAAUCCUUUGAUGGGAAAAUUACUUGGUGCUCUCCAAAGUAGCCCUCGUAAAUUGCAGGAAACUUGCAUGUAGUUCAAUAUCAUUUCUUGCAAUUCUUUUUCUUCCAUUGGUGAUGGGCAUCGUCUUGAACUAUAUGAUGUUCUUGUGCACCAUUGUUAACUCGGCUUUAACUACCACAAUUGUCAGAGUCCUCAAGUGAGUCGGAUCUACGACACUGGGAUUUGCCAUGUUGGGAGGAGUAGAAGUACAUGCUUUGAAUGUCACUGGUUUGGUGAUAAACACAACUGGUGAUGUGUGUGGUAUUCAGUAGCCAAAUAUAAACAGAAGAAGAGCAAAUUGCCCAAGAUAAUGUCUGAUAUCGAAGAUUCCAUAGAGUUCAAUAUUUAUACUUCAAAUAUGCUAGUACCUUGAACAUGUACUUGUGAAUCAAUUUGAUAGAACCUUGAUCAAUUUGGGCAAUUUGAUAGUACCUUGAACAUGUACUUGUGAUGUUAUAUGUAAACAUUAAAGAUGUUGUAUUACUAUCUUUUGUCUUGUCCAUC